AAGAAAUUUUUUAAGAGCAAAUGGUGGAUGCCUUGGAAGUAGGAGGCGAUGAAGGACGUGGCGUGGCUGCGAUAAGCCUCGGGGAGCUGCUUAGCAAGCUAUGAUCCGGGGAUUUCCGAAUGUGGAAACACUACUGCGCAAACCGCAGUAACCCGUCGUAAGACGGGGGCGAACCUGGGGAAGUAAAACAUUUCAGUACCCAGAGGAAAAGAAAAAUAUAUUUUAUUCCCUUAGUAGUGGCGAGCGAAAAGGGAAGAGCUCAAACCGAAAGUACUUGUAUUUUCGGGGUUGUAGGGCGUUAACAGAACUUGUUUCGGAAAGAUAUAAAUUUAUUAGUUAGCUGAAUAUUCCUGGAAAGGAUAACCAUAGCGGGUGAUAGUCCCGUAAGCGAAAAUUAGUAAAACUUUCUGGUUGACGUUCCUGAGUACCGCAGGAAACGAUAGCCCUGCGGGAAUCCGGCUACACUGUUAGCCAAAGCUAAAUACUACCUACUUACCGAUAGUGAACUAGUACCGUGAGGGAAAGGUGAAAAGUAGCCCGAUGAGGGCGAUGAAAUAGUACCUGAAACCAUUAUGCUCACAAAGAGUCGGAGUCCCGACGGCGCAAGCUUGUCGUGGAUGACGGCGUGCUUUUUGUAGAACGAGCCAACGAGUCUAAAUAUACAGCUUGUUUAAGCCCUUUUAGGGUGGAAGCAUAGCGAAAGCAAGUGUUAAUAGCGCGAAAAAAUUGUGCUGUAUAUUUAGGACCCGAAGCCAGGCGAGCUUACCAUGAUCAGGGUGAAUCCAAACGAAAGUUUGGAGAAGGCCCGAACCAGUUAGUCGUUCAACGCUUUUGGAUGAAUUGUGGUAAGAAGUGAAAAGCUAAUCGAGCCUGGUAAUAGCUGGUUCUCCCCGAAAUAUCUUUAGGGAUAGCCUAAACGUUUGAGCUUGUGGGGGUAGAGCACUGAAUGGUUCGUCGUGGGUUUACCUAGGCGAUCCAAUCAAACUCCGAAUACCAUAAGUUAUGUUUAGAGUCAGAACACGGGAGCUAAGUUCCGUGCUCAAAAGGGAAAAAGCCCAGAUCGCUAUCUAAGGUCCCAAAAUUUAAGCUAAGUGUGAUAAGGAAGUGAAUUUUCAUUGAUAGUUAGAAGGUUAGCUUAGAGGCAGCUAUCCUUUAAAAAGUGCGUAACAGCUUACUACCUGAGAGAAUUCGCGCCAAAGAUUUACGGGACUAAAGCUUAAUACCGAAGAUGCGACUGUACAGAUUUAUUUCUGUACGGGGUAGGGGAGCGUCCCAUAUUCAGCGAAGCCGAGCCGUGAGGCCAGGUGGAGAAUAUGGGAGUGAGAAUGUUGGCAUGAGUAACCGCAAGGAAGGUGAAAGCCCUUCCCGCCGAAAAUCUAAGGUUUCCUUGGCAAUGACAAUCAUCCAAGGGUUAGGCGAUCCUAAGCUGAACACCGAAAGGUGUUUAUGCGAUGGCCAGACGAUUAAUAUUUCGUCCCUUCGAUUUGUUUUCAAUAAAGUGACGGAGAGCAGUAUCUUGAGCAGAUUAUUGGAUUUCUGUUCGUGGCAUAGGGGGUAACCCGAGUGUUGCGAAAACUUCUUCCUACGGGUUGAGGGAUCCAAGUGAGCGCUCUUCCCAGAAAAGCUUUAAAGAGCUAAGCAAAUCGAAAUCGUACCGAAAACCGACACAGGUGGAUUGGUGUAAGUGUACCAAGGCGAACGAGCGAAACUUCGUUAAGGAACUAGGCAAAACAGCUAGGCGUAAGUUUUCGAGAUGCCUUGCCUCAGCCAGUAAUGGUAUUGAGGCCGCAGCUAAAGAUCCCAGGCGACUGUUUACCAAAAACACAGGUCUCUGCUAAACUCGUAAGAGGAAGUAUAGGGGCUGAAACCUGACCAGUGCUGGAGUGUUAAAGGUGGGGGUGAUUGCCGUAAGGUAAUGGCUCACUGCCCCAAGCCUCCAGUAAACGUCCGCGGUAACUCUGACCGUGUUAAAGUAGCGUAAUCCCUUGCCGGGUAAGUUCCGGCCCGCAUGAAAGGUUUAACGAUCUGGGAACUGUCUCAACGAAGCGCUCGGUGAAAACGCAAUGCCCGUGAAGAUGCGGGAUUCCUGCAGCUAGACGAAAAGACCCCGGGAGCUUUACUAUAUCUAUGUAUUGGGCUUUGGUCUUGGAUGCGUAGCAUAGGUGGGAGGAUUUGAGGUUCUAAUUUCGGUUAGGGCUGAUCCGACAGUGAAAUACCACCCUUUCUUGAUCUUUGUUCUAACCCGCCGCAAGGCGGAAACAGUGCAUGGUGGGGAGUUUAAGUGGGGCGCUUGCCUCCUAAAAAGUAACGGAGGCGUUUAAAGGUUGGCUAACUCCGGAUGGAAAUCGGAGUGAUAGGGCAAAACCAAAAGCCAGCUUUACUGCGAGAUGGACAUAUCGAGCAGUUACGAAAGUAGAAUUUAGUGAACCGACCUUAAUUAACAGAAUUAGGGAAGAUAAUCGGCUAAAAGUUACCCCGGGGAUAACAGGCUGGUAGAGCCCGAGAGUUCACAUCGACGGCUCUGUUCGGCACCUCGAUGUCGGCUCAUCUUAUCCUGGAGGUGGAGAAGCUUCCAAGGGUUGGGCUGUUCGCCCAUUAAAAAGAUACGCGAGCUGGGUUCAGUACGUCGCGAGACAGUACGGUCUCUUUCUACUGUAGGCGUUGAGUUUUGAGGGGAGUUCUGGGUAGUACGAGAGGACCCUCAGGAGCUAACCUCUGGUGUACCAGUUGUUCCGCCAGGAGCAUCGCUGGGUAGCUAUGUUGGUUCGGGAUAAGCGCUGAAAGCAUAUAAGCACGAAGCCCACCCCAAGAUUAGAACUCUUUUAGAUCGGUCGUAGACUACGACCUUGAUAGGCUUUAGGUGUAAGCCCCGUGAGGGGUUAAGCCAAGAAGUACUAAUUGAUCAAAUAAUUUCUUAA
RNAcentral lists this ribosomal RNA (2918 nucleotides) under bacterium. RNAcentral's name for it is "23S ribosomal RNA". It matches the Rfam family "Bacterial large subunit ribosomal RNA". The record is from RNAcentral.